This is a non-coding RNA of Sorex fumeus (smoky shrew), 504 nucleotides long. NCBI's taxonomy places the organism in Eukaryota, Metazoa, Chordata, Mammalia, Eulipotyphla, Soricidae. The record is from the annotation of a RefSeq genome assembly.
AUGGAAUGGACCUGGAGAAUUCUCUUCCUGGUGGCAGUGGUUGCAGGUGUGAACUCCCAGGUACAGCUGGUGCAGCCGGGGGCUGAGGUUGGAAAACCUGGGACAUCAGUGAAGAUCUCCUGCAAGGUGUCCGGAUACACCUUCAGCAGCUAUGAUAUGAGUUGGGUGCGGCAGGCCCUGGGACAAGGGCUCAAGUGGAUGGGAGGGAUAAAUCCUAGCAAUGGUGGUACAAGCUACGCACAGAAGUUUCAGGGCAGACUCAAACUCACUGCACACAAGUCCAAGGACACAGCCUACAUGGAGCUGAGCAGGCUGAGCAAUGAGGACACGGCUAUAUUACUGUGUGAGAGACUCAGUGUGACAACCACAUCCUGUUUGUGUCAGAAAACUGAGGGGGAGGCACCUGUGCCGGUUACCCCCAGGCAGAUGGGCUUUUUCCUGGAGCUGUUGCCACUAAUUCGGCAGCGAAUUAUUCUCCCAUUCUAUAUCCUGUUAGAACCAUAA